This 253-nucleotide ribosomal RNA is filed under the name uncultured bacterium. RNAcentral describes it as "partial 16S ribosomal RNA". It matches the Rfam family "Bacterial small subunit ribosomal RNA", at positions 524 to 776 of the family's 1533-position model. The record is from RNAcentral.
UACGUAGGGGGCAAGCGUUGUCCGGAUUUAUUGGGCGUAAAGAGCGUGUAGGCGGUCUGUUGCGUCGGCUGUGAAAACCCGGGGCUCAACCCCGGGCCUGCAGCCGAUACGAGCAGACUAGAGUUCGGCAGGGGAGACUGGAAUUCCUGGUGUAGCGGUGAAAUGCGCAGAUAUCAGGAGGAACACCGGUGGCGAAGGCGGCAUCCUGGACCGAUACUGACGCUGAGGAGCGAAAGCCAGGGGAGCAAACGGG